UUAAAUAUCGGGCAAAUCUGUCGAAAGGCAGAGACGCAAAGCUAUGGGCCUAAGGCAGAAAUGCUAUGGUUGCCAGGUUGCUUAA
This 85-nucleotide non-coding RNA is filed under the name Desulforamulus ruminis. RNAcentral describes it as "Desulfotomaculum ruminis c-di-GMP sequence". It matches the Rfam family "c-di-GMP-I riboswitch aptamer". From Rfam's summary of the family: GEMM was predicted in a large-scale screen for bacterial structured RNA regulatory elements. Genes associated with GEMM are involved in a diverse array of functions, including chemotaxis regulation, signal transduction, secretion and chitin. RNAcentral also lists the same sequence under 1 other name. The record is from RNAcentral. Lineage: Bacteria; Bacillati; Bacillota; Clostridia; Eubacteriales; Peptococcaceae.